CGGGCGGCGUGCUAUACUGCAGUCGAGCGAAUGGAUUAAGAGCUUGCUCUUAUGAAGUUAGCGGCGGACGGGUGAGUAACACGUGGGUAACCUGCCCAUAAGACUGGGAUAACUCCGGGAAACCGGGGCUAAUACCGGAUAACAUUUUGCACCGCAUGGUGCGAAAUUGAAAGGCGGCUUCGGCUGUCACUUAUGGAUGGACCCGCGUCGCAUUAGCUAGUUGGUGAGGUAACGGCUCACCAAGGCAACGAUGCGUAGCCGACCUGAGAGGGUGAUCGGCCACACUGGGACUGAGACACGGCCCAGACUCCUACGGGAGGCAGCAGUAGGGAAUCUUCCGCAAUGGACGAAAGUCUGACGGAGCAACGCCGCGUGAGUGAUGAAGGCUUUCGGGUCGUAAAACUCUGUUGUUAGGGAAGAACAAGUGCUAGUUGAAUAAGCUGGCACCUUGACGGUACCUAACCAGAAAGCCACGGCUAACUACGUGCCAGCAGCCGCGGUAAUACGUAGGUGGCAAGCGUUAUCCGGAAUUAUUGGGCGUAAAGCGCGCGCAGGUGGUUUCUUAAGUCUGAUGUGAAAGCCCACGGCUCAACCGUGGAGGGUCAUUGGAAACUGGGAGACUUGAGUGCAGAAGAGGAAAGUGGAAUUCCAUGUGAAGCGAA
RNAcentral lists this ribosomal RNA (662 nucleotides) under Bacillus pseudomycoides. RNAcentral describes it as "bacterial SSU rRNA". It matches the Rfam family "Bacterial small subunit ribosomal RNA", at positions 36 to 682 of the family's 1533-position model. Lineage: Bacteria; Bacillati; Bacillota; Bacilli; Caryophanales; Bacillaceae. The record is from RNAcentral. RNAcentral also lists the same sequence under 1 other name.